RNAcentral lists this long non-coding RNA (346 nucleotides) under Micromonas commoda. RNAcentral describes it as "long non-coding RNA (MCOM_LNC000114)". The record is from RNAcentral. Lineage: Eukaryota; Viridiplantae; Chlorophyta; Mamiellophyceae; Mamiellales; Mamiellaceae.
UGUGUUCGUGCACAACGUGUUCAAUCGGCUGUUCAUCAUCGACGACACGCUCAAGACCGCGCGGCAGCUCAUCGCCAAGUACGAACAGGACCCGAACUCCAUCCCGAGGAUCCGGCACACCCUAUCGGAGACGUCCAAAGACAUCAUCCUCCUCGAGGAGGUUCUCCUGUACCUGCGCGAGUCGCUGGAGCAGGACACCUCCAUAUACGCCGAGCCCACGGAUGAAUCCGGAUACCGCCUGUACCAGGUGCUCAAGGUGAAGACGAUCCUGAACGACCUCCACGUUCGCAUCGAGGACAUGCAGAAGGUGCUGCUGGGCGCCAGGCACGAGGUGAACGGGCUACGG